This 891-nucleotide ribosomal RNA is filed under the name Amanita fulva. RNAcentral describes it as "eukaryotic LSU rRNA". It matches the Rfam family "Eukaryotic large subunit ribosomal RNA", at positions 65 to 922 of the family's 3401-position model. Lineage: Eukaryota; Fungi; Basidiomycota; Agaricomycetes; Agaricales; Amanitaceae. The record is from RNAcentral.
CUAACAAGGAUUCCCCUAGUAACUGCGAGUGAAGCGGGAAAAGCUCAAAUUUGAAAUCUGGCAGUCUAUUUUUUCUUCUUUGGCUGUCCGAGUUGUAAUCUAGAGAAGUGCUUACCUGCACUGGACCAUGUAUAAGUCUCCUGGAAUGGAGCGUCACAGAGGGUGAGAAUCCCGUCUUUGACAUGGACUGCCAGUGUGUUGUGGUGUGCUCUCAAAGAGUCGAGUUGUUUGGGAAUGCAGCUCUAAAUGGGUGGUAAACUCCAUCUAAAGCUAAAUAUUGGCGAGAGACCGAUAGCGAACAAGUACCGUGAGGGAAAGAUGAAAAGGACUUUGGAAAGAGAGUUAAACAGUAUGUGAAAUUGUUGAAAGGGAAACGCUUGAAGUCAGUUAUGUUGGCUAGGGAUCAACCUAGCUGUCUUUUGCUGGGUGAAUUUCCUAGUCUGACAGGCCAACAUCAGUCUUGACUGCUGGAAAAGAGCAGAGGGAAUGUGGCACCUUCGGGUGUGUUAUAGCCCUUUGUCAUAUGUGGCGGUUGGGACUGAGGGAUGCAGCGUGCCGCGAGGCUGGGUUUCGACCACGUUCACGCUUAGGAUGUUGGCUUUUAAUGGCUUCAAUCGACCCGUCUUGAAACACGGACCAAGGAGUCUAACAUGCCUGCAAGUGUUUGGGUGGAAAACCCUUGCGCACAAUGAAAGUGAAAGUUGAGAUCCCUGUCAUGGGGAGCAUCGACGCCCGGACUUGAGCUUUUAGCGACGGAUCCGCGGUAGAGCAUGCAUGUUGGGACCCGAAAGAUGGUGAACUAUGCCUGAAUAGGGCAAAGCCAGAGGAAACUCUGGUGGAGGCUCGUAGCGAUUCUGACGUGCAAAUCGAUCGUCAAAUUUGGGUAUAGGG